This 1313-nucleotide ribosomal RNA is filed under the name Aspergillus sp. RNAcentral describes it as "partial large subunit ribosomal RNA". It matches the Rfam family "Eukaryotic large subunit ribosomal RNA", at positions 88 to 1404 of the family's 3401-position model. The record is from RNAcentral. Lineage: Eukaryota; Fungi; Ascomycota; Eurotiomycetes; Eurotiales; Aspergillaceae.
GGCGAGUGAAGCGGCAAGAGCUCAAAUUUGAAAGCUGGCUCCUUCGGGGUCCGCAUUGUAAUUUGCAGAGGAUGCUUCGGGUGCAGCCCCCGUCUAAGUGCCCUGGAACGGGCCGUCAUAGAGGGUGAGAAUCCCGUAUGGGGCGGGGUGUCUGCGUCCGUGUGAAGCUCCUUCGACGAGUCGAGUUGUUUGGGAAUGCAGCUCUAAAUGGGUGGUAAAUUUCAUCUAAAGCUAAAUACUGGCCGGAGACCGAUAGCGCACAAGUAGAGUGAUCGAAAGAUGAAAAGCACUUUGAAAAGAGAGUUAAACAGCACGUGAAAUUGUUGAAAGGGAAGCGCUUGCAACCAGACUCGCUCGCGGGGUUCAGCCGGGCUUCGGCCCGGUGUACUUCCCCGCGGGCGGGCCAGCGUCGGUUUGGGCGGCCGGUCAAAGGCCUCCGGAAUGUAGCGCCCUUCGGGGCGCCUUAUAGCCGGGGGUGCAAUGCGGCCAGCCUGGACCGACGAACGCGCUUCGGCACGGACGCUGGCAUAAUGGUUGUAAACCACCCUUCUUGAAACACGGACCAAGGAGUCUAACAUCUACGCGAGUGUUCGGGUGUCAAACCCGUACGCGCAGUGAAAGCGAACGGAGGUGGGAGCCCCCUCGCGGGGCGCACCAUCGACCGAUCCUGAUGUCUUCAGAUGGAUUUGAGUACGAGCGUAGCUGUGGGGACCCGAAAGAUGGUGAACUAUGCCUGAAUAGGGCGAAGCCACAGGAAACUCUGGUGGAGGCUCGCAGCGGUUCUGACGUGCAAAUCUAUCGUCAAAUUUGGGUAUAGGGGCGAAAGACUAAUCGAACCAUCUGGUAGCUGGUUCCUGCCGAAGUUUCCCUCAGGAUAGCAGUAACGCGGAUCAUUUUUAUGAGGUAAAGCAAAUGAUUAGAGGCAUUGGGGUUGAAACAACCCUUAACCUAUUCUCAAACUUCAAAUAUGUAAUAAGCACUUGUUGCUUGGUUGAACAUACGCAUUAAAAUGGAGCGUUACUAUUGGGCCAUUUUUGUUAGGCAGAACUGGCGAUGCGGGAUGAACUAACCCCGAAGUUAAAGUUCCGGACUGCAUGUAGUCCAGACAUCCCCAAAAGUGUUAGUUGGUCUAGAGGUUCCAACGGGGGCCAUGGACCUUGGGAAUAAAUGAGAUUUUUAAUAGUAAGGGCCCAUGGGGGGGCCUAAAAGGGGGGGCCCAAAAGAAGGCCCCCCUUAAAUUCAAUGGGGGCACCAAGGGGGCGGAUUAAAUUAACGGGGGCCCUGCCACCUUGGGGGGCCGGGGGGGCCCCCUU